RNAcentral lists this long non-coding RNA (1707 nucleotides) under Podarcis lilfordi (Lilford's wall lizard). Lineage: Eukaryota; Metazoa; Chordata; Lepidosauria; Squamata; Lacertidae. The record is from RNAcentral.
GAAUGAAAUUAGGUUGCUUGUACUGCAAAUACUGGAAACUGCUUUCUCCCCCACAGAUGUGUGUGUUCGCAAGUGCUUUUCACUGCAGUUUUUUCAAUUCUUCUGUGACAAAUUAGUAUCUUCUUGAGAUAGGGUGAAAAUAGCACAGUAUUCAAGUUAGGUUGACACCCCGAAUAUAUGUGGUUGUGAUAUUUUUGGUUUUAUUUUUAUGUUUCCCCUAACAGUUCCUGACAUUGUCUCUUUGAUGACUGUUCAGUACAUCAAGCUGAUAUUUUCUCAGUGAGCUGUGUUAUCUGUAAGGAUUAUCAGAUGUCUUUUCUGCAUACUUCAUUUUUCUAGAAUCCCAACACUUGUGCUUCUCAACCUUGAAUUUGAUUGCAUUGUUUCUUAUGAGGCAUUUUAUGAGAUCUGUGUGUAAGUCUGUUGCAGCAUUUUAUGAGCUUAAUUGUGCUAAAUCAAACUGAUUGUCUCCGGUUGUGCAGACUUCCUCUCCAUCCCCUUUUCCAGUUAAUCAAUGGGUAAACUGUGAGACACCCUGCAGUUUGCCUUUUCUACGUGGUGAAAAAUCCCAUUCAUCUCAAGGCUCAUUCUUCUUUUAACCUGAUCUAUGAAUGAACUAGUUUCUCUUAUCCUAUGAGUCAUGACAAGGGGAUCUAGAUACCUGAAUGACUUUUUCUGCUUUGAGCUGCAGAAUAUAUAAUUUUAAAUAGGUUUCAGUGACUUUUUGGAAUUCAAAGCUGUUGUUUUUCAAAGCAUGAUUUAAUUAAGCUUUUCAAAAUCCAGUUGAUAAUGAUAGGUUAAGCAAGUGCCGUUCCUGAAAUCAAGGAAAUUUUAAAGUACUUAAUUUUGGCUGGGUUUAGUUUUAAGGUUCUUGUCCUCUUUGUUUACAUAUCCAUUAGCUUCCCUUAGCUCCCAUCUAAAAAGGAGUUUGUAUAAUGUGGAAACAUUUUUAUUCCACAUAGCUCCUGAAUAUGUUUAGCAUGUGUUUGUUUAUUUUUCCUGAAGCCAACAGUUUAGUUUUAUUUUAUUUGGUAAGAGAGCUAGGAUUGUGACAGUUAUCUGAUUUUCUUUUAAUGACCAAAUUUUACGCUGUGAAGAGCAAAAUGAAUCACUACCAUUAACGCUGAGUUGUUACAAACAAGAUAGUAUUGAGAUAAUAAAAGGCCCUAAGAGAGCAACAGAAACCGAAUGACAGCUUCCCAAACUCAUUAGGCUGAUUAUGGUGCGUUUCCUCUCCAUACAUUAUUCCUAAGGCGCUAGCAUUUAAAAGUGUGUAAACAUUAUGAUGUCUCUUUUAAUCCACAGAAAUGCAUGUGCCUAAGUGGUGAAAGUACGUUUUGAGGUUUUACUGAACUUCUUUGCAGCAGAAUAGAAAACACAUUUCUAUAAAACACUUUAAAGUGAUGUUUUCAUACGUGGGCCUUGAAUCAUCAUUCAAAUGAAAUAAUGCUGGAAAUAGUUAUUCUUUCUGACUGUUUCAGCUCUGUUUCAAUUGCAGGCAUAGCUGACUCUUAUAAAUUAAACCGAGAAAAGAUUUGAGAAGGAAUUCAAGUCUCACUGUUUUGACACCAGAGUGGUGGAUGGGACAGCUAUAGCUUCUCUUCCUAUAUAUUUUUCUUGGACACCUUGCAAGACACAUGAAUUGCUGCACAUGCCCCAUCUACUUCCCCCCCCUUGCUCUUCUGACGCUCUUAUUCUCUCCUCCUC